UACGUAGGGGGCAAGCGUUGUCCGGAUUCAUUGGGCGUAAAGAGCGUGUAGGCGGCCAGGUAGGUCGGUUGUGAAAACUGGAGGCUCAACCUUCAGAGGUCGACCGAAACCAUCUGGCUAGAGUCCGGGAGAGGAGAGUGGAAUUCCUGGUGUAGCGGUGAAAUGCGCAGAUAUCAGGAAGAACACCCGUGGCGAAAGCGGCUCUCUGGAACGGUACUGACGCUAAGACGCGAAAGCGUGGGGAGCAAACAGG
RNAcentral lists this ribosomal RNA (253 nucleotides) under uncultured bacterium. Its description in RNAcentral is "partial 16S ribosomal RNA". It matches the Rfam family "Bacterial small subunit ribosomal RNA", at positions 524 to 776 of the family's 1533-position model. The record is from RNAcentral.